MicroRNA precursor from Callithrix jacchus (white-tufted-ear marmoset), 88 nucleotides. NCBI's taxonomy places the organism in Eukaryota, Metazoa, Chordata, Mammalia, Primates, Cebidae. The record is from Ensembl.
UCACAGCUGCCAGCGUCAUUUUUGUGAUCUGCAGCUAGUAUUCUCACUCCAGUUGCAUAGUCACAAAAGUGAUCAUUGGCAGGUGUGG